AGAGUUUGAUCAUGGCUCAGGACGAACGCUGGCGGCGUGGAUUAGGCAUGCAAGUCGAGCGAUAUCCAACCUUCGGGUUGGUGAAAGCGGCGAACGGGUGAGUAACACGUGAAUAACCUGUCCCCACGUUCCGGACAAUUCACCGAAAGGUGUUGUAAUACGGGCGAGGGCCAUUGUGAGGCAUCUCACGAUGAAGGAACGCGCAAGCGGCGCGGGGAGGGGUUCGCGGAUUAUCAGGUAGAUGGUGAGGUAACGGCUCACCAUGCCUACGACGAUUAGCUGGUCUGAGAGGAUGGUCAGCCACAUUGGGACUGAGACACUGCCCAGACUCCUACGGGAGGCUGCAGUCGAGAAUCUUGCACAAUGCGCGAAAGCGUGAUGCAGCGACGCCGCGUGGAGGAAGAAGGUGCUCAGCAUCGUAAACUCCUUUUAACCCAGAAGAACACAAUGACGGUAUGGGUUGAAUAAGCCACGGCUAACUACGUGCCAGCAGCCGCGGUAAUACGUAGGUGGCAAGCGUUGUCCGGAUUUACUGGGCGUAAAGGGUGGGCAGGCGGACUUUUAAGUAGGAAGUGAAAGGUUGGAGCUCAACUCUAACACUGCUCCCUAUACUGGAAGUCUUGAGUUCUGGAGAGGAAGAUGGAACAACACGUGUAGCGGUGAAAUGCGUUGAGAUGUGUUGGAACACCAAUGGCGAAAGCAGUCUUCUGGACAGAUACUGACGCUCAUCCACGAAAGCCAAGGUAGCGAACAGGAUUAGAUACCCCGGUAGUCC
This 775-nucleotide ribosomal RNA is filed under the name uncultured bacterium. RNAcentral describes it as "bacterial SSU rRNA". It matches the Rfam family "Bacterial small subunit ribosomal RNA", at positions 8 to 796 of the family's 1533-position model. The record is from RNAcentral.